Long non-coding RNA from Osmia lignaria (orchard mason bee), 405 nucleotides. RefSeq lists it as uncharacterized. The record is from RefSeq and is a predicted model, not a curated record. NCBI's taxonomy places the organism in Eukaryota, Metazoa, Arthropoda, Insecta, Hymenoptera, Megachilidae.
CAAAGAAUAUCAGUGGACAUACGAUUCACAGAAAUGUUUAUAUUACGAAUAAAUCAAUGCAGCUAUGUGCAAUGCUGUCCUACCAUAAGACAUCUCGGUAUCGUUUACAUUUGCUCCUGCUUGAACAAGGAAACAUACUGCAUCGUACGAUCCUGCUUCUGCAGCAAGAUGUAAUGCUCUCCAUCCAGCAUCAUUGGGUAAUUCAAUGUUAACUGUUUUCUCUGACAAUAAAGCAUCAACACAGGCGCCACCUUCUGGAACUAAAAUAUCCAUCGUGCAGUGGAGAAAAUCCAUGCUCAUCAAUUCGAUUUGGAUCAGCUCCAAGCAUGAGUAACGCUUUUGUAACUUCUGGUAAGUUUUGUAAGACAGCAUAAUGUAAUGGCGUCUAAAUCAAAUGUUUUGUAU